RNAcentral lists this ribosomal RNA (254 nucleotides) under uncultured prokaryote. RNAcentral's name for it is "partial 16S ribosomal RNA". It matches the Rfam family "Bacterial small subunit ribosomal RNA", at positions 524 to 777 of the family's 1533-position model. The record is from RNAcentral.
UACGGAGGAUCCAAGCGUUAUCCGGAUUUAUUGGGUUUAAAGGGUGCGCAGGUUGUUUGAUAAGUCAGUGGUGAAAGUCUGUCGCUUAACGGUAGGAUUGCCAUUGAUACUGUUAGACUUGAAUAUGGAUGAGGUAGGCGGAAUGUGUAGUGUAGCGGUGAAAUGCAUAGAUAUUACGCAGAACACCGAUUGCGAAGGCAGCUUACUAAUCCAUCAUUGACGCUGAGGCACGAAAGCGUGGGGAUCAAACAGGA